AAUAGAUACCCAGGUAGUCCACGCCGUAAACGAUGGAUGCUAGCUGUUAUGCGUAUCGGCCCGUGUAGUAGCGAAGCUAACGCGUUAAGCAUCCCGCCUGGGGAGUACGAACGCAAGUUUAAAACUCAAAGGAAUUGACGGGGACCCGCACAAGCGGUGGAGCGUGUUCUUUAAUUCGAGGCUAAGCGAAGAACCUUACCAGGGCUUGACAUCCUUGGAAUUUCUCCGAAAGGAGAGAGUACUUUAUUGGACCAAGUGACAGGUGCUGCAUGGCCGUCGUCAGCUCGUGUCGUGAGAUGUUUGGUUAAGUCCAUUAACGAGCGCAACCCUUAUGAAUAGUUGUAUUUUUCUAUUCAGACUGCCCCGGUAACGGGGAGGAAGGGGGGGAUGAUGUCAGGUCAGUAUUGCCCUUACGCCCUGGGCUAGAAACGCGCUACAAUGGCCGGUACAAUGCGCUGCCAACCCGCGAGGGGGAGCAAAUCGCAUCAAAGCCGGUCCCAGUUCGGAUAAGAGGCUGAAACUCGCCUCUUUGAAGCCGGAAUCGCUGGUAAUCGU
RNAcentral lists this ribosomal RNA (555 nucleotides) under uncultured bacterium. RNAcentral describes it as "bacterial SSU rRNA". It matches the Rfam family "Bacterial small subunit ribosomal RNA", at positions 777 to 1345 of the family's 1533-position model. The record is from RNAcentral.